UACGUAGGGUGCGAGCGUUAAUCGGAAUUACUGGGCGUAAAGCGUGCGCAGGCGGUUCUAUAAGACAGAUGUGAAAUCCCCGGGCUCAACCUGGGAACUGCAUUUGUGACUGUAGAGCUGGAGUGCGGGAGAGGAGAGUGGAAUUCCUGGUGUAGCGGUGAAAUGCGUAGAUAUCAGGAGGAACACCGGUGGUGUAGACGGCUCUCUGGACCGUAACUGACGCUGAGACACGAAAGCGUGGGUAGCAAACAGG
Molecule: ribosomal RNA, 253 nt
Filed under: uncultured bacterium
Lineage: Bacteria
Description: partial 16S ribosomal RNA
Rfam family: Bacterial small subunit ribosomal RNA
Source: RNAcentral